AACUCGAACAAACAACGGCGCACCAGGCGAGACUUAUACGAAGAUUUUCUCUGGCUUAAAUAUCGGAGGGUCUAGUCGGAACAAAGCUUUAGCAAGUUUUCUGACCUCUUUGGUGUCUUGUAGAUCGAUCAAAACAGCUCAUGUUAGCAAUUUGGAGAACGAUGGCAGCAAUUUUGCACCAUUUAUAUAAAUUGGACGAAAAGUAUGCCAGAAGGAGAAACCAAUUUGACAUGUUUCUUAUUGUCAGUAUAACUAAAGCUAUUUCUACAACUAAGGCGCUUAUGGAUACCUUGGUUCCUGGUGCAGAGCUGCGGGCGGUCUGGAUGGGUAUGUAUUACGCACGGCGUGUGCUUCAGGCGAGUUCAGUCUUACUGGAGGAAAAUUUGGCCACGGUGAUCAGCUGGGUCC
RNAcentral lists this long non-coding RNA (408 nucleotides) under Phoenix dactylifera (date palm). RNAcentral describes it as "long non-coding RNA (PDAC_LNC007221)". Lineage: Eukaryota; Viridiplantae; Streptophyta; Magnoliopsida; Arecales; Arecaceae. The record is from RNAcentral.